RNAcentral lists this ribosomal RNA (721 nucleotides) under uncultured Candidatus Scalindua sp. RNAcentral describes it as "bacterial SSU rRNA". It matches the Rfam family "Bacterial small subunit ribosomal RNA", at positions 565 to 1274 of the family's 1533-position model. The record is from RNAcentral. Lineage: Bacteria; Pseudomonadati; Planctomycetota; Candidatus Brocadiia; Candidatus Brocadiales; Candidatus Scalinduaceae.
GAGCACGUAGGUGGGUUUGUAAGUCCGAUGUGAAAGCCUUCUGUUCAACGGAAGAAUUGCAUCUGAAACUGCAAACCUUGAGUGUAGGAGGGGAGAAUGGAACUUCUGGUGGAGCGGUGAAAUGCGUAGAUAUCAGAAGGAACGCCGGCGGCGAAAGCGAUUCUCUGCCUAUUACUGACACUCAGUGUGCGAAAGCUAGGGGAGCAAACGGGAUUAGAUACCCCGGUAGUCCUAGCCGUAAAUGAUGGGCACUAAGUAGAGGGAAUUACCGAUGUUCUCUCUGCCGUAGCUAACGCAUUAAGUGCCCCGCCUGGGGAGUACGGCCGCAAGGCUAAAACUCAAAAGAAUUGACGGGGGCUCGCACAAGCGGUGGAGCAUGUGGCUUAAUUCGAUGCAACGCGAAAAACCUUACCGGGGCUUGACAUGGUAGAAGUAGGAACCCGAAAGGGGAACGAAUGGUAUCCAGUCCAUAGCUAUCACAGGUGUUGCAUGGCUGUCGUCAGCUCGUGUCGUGAGACGUUGGGUUAAGUCCCCUAACGAGCGAAACCCUUGUUUUUAGUUACCGGCGGGUUGUGCCGGGUACUCUAGAAAGACUGCCGUCGUCAAGACGGAGGAAGGUGGGGGAUGACGUCAGUCAUUCAUGGCCCUUAUGCCCCAGGCUGCACAAUUGCUAUAAUGGUCGGUACAAACGGAAGCGAAUCCGAAAGGGUGAAGCGAUUCC